GACGAACGCUGGCGGCGUGCUUAACACAUGCAAGUCGAACGGAAAGGCCCUGCUUGCAGGGUACUCGAGUGGCGAACGGGUGAGUAACACGUGGGUGAUCUGCCCUGCACUUCGGGAUAAGCCUGGGAAACUGGGUCUAAUACCGGAUAGGAGCCAUUUGUAGUGUGAUUGUUGGAAAGUUUUUUCGGUGUAGGAUGAGCUCGCGGCCUAUCAGCUUGUUGGUGGGGUAAUGGACUACCAAGGCGGCGACGGGUAGCCGGCCUGAGAGGGUGGACGGCCACAUUGGGACUGGGAUACGGCCCAGACUCCUACGGGAGGCAGCAGUGGGGAAUAUUGCACAAUGGGCGCAAGCCUGAUGCAGCGACGCCGCGUGGGGGAUGACGGCCUUCGGGUUGUAAACUCCUUUCGCUAGGGACGAAGCUUUUUGUGACGGUACCUAGAUAAGAAGCACCGGCUAACUACGUG
RNAcentral lists this ribosomal RNA (465 nucleotides) under uncultured bacterium. RNAcentral's name for it is "partial 16S ribosomal RNA". It matches the Rfam family "Bacterial small subunit ribosomal RNA", at positions 28 to 507 of the family's 1533-position model. The record is from RNAcentral.